Molecule: long non-coding RNA, 2462 nt
Filed under: Ooceraea biroi (clonal raider ant)
Lineage: Eukaryota; Metazoa; Arthropoda; Insecta; Hymenoptera; Formicidae
Description: uncharacterized LOC105287747
Source: RNAcentral
AUUUUUUCAUACAAAAUUCCAAAAUCUAAAAGCAUUAUACCAACAUUAAUAUUGAAGGUGAACCGUAAUCAAGUUUAAUAGAUCUAUUGCACGAUCCUAGAUCCACGGAAGGAAGAAAUAGAAAAGAUUACAGUCCGCUGUUCCAUGGUCGGCGCAAGGAAAUCGAUUUUAAUCAGUGGUUAAUAUGAAAUAUGAUAGCAAAGUGGCCGAACGCGAGAAAGGAAACUCUUCGGUUGAUUCGCGUGAUAGAUACACAAUUAUUCGGCGAAGAAGACUCACUGCAUUGUCAAAGUGAAACGAUUUCCCGACUUGAUGGAAAAUUAGUUUCGCGCGUAAAUUGCCCGGAACCGUGAUUCACCGAUUUUCUUCGAUCACACCUGCUACUUAAUCAAGCAGAUUCCCGUAGGGGCAGCCAUACUCUCGAGGAACACCCUUCUGAACGCCGGAAGCGACCUUCUUCUGUGACACAAGACAAAGAAAGCUCGCUUUUCAUCACUACCGCGAGAUUAAACGAUGGCCGGACCGCCCCGUGGAUCUCCCGUAACAUUAGAUCCAGAGUGGCAUUGCAUUUCGCACGGUUUCCUCAAUUUCCUGGCAAUUCCCUGUAUUCAUGAAGCUAAAGUUGUCCGAUGGCAGCCAGGAGACUUUUCUUUUGAUGCCUUUGACGAUGGAAAAAUUCAUUAGUGGAAUGAAUUGAUCGAAAUGAUACAAAAAUUAAUAAUUCGUAUUAUUUUAUAUAUAAAUAUUUUACGUAAAUAUAAUUUUAAAAACUUACGUAAAUAUAAUUAAAUAUGGAAUUGUUAGAACUGCAAGAUCACUAGUUGCUAAGUUUCUGAUAAACUUGAUCUGAUUCACAGUUUUCUAGCCUUGCAUAAUUGCAUGGGAAAAGAGGGCGGAAAAUAUUUUCAGAUUCACUGAGGAUAUACCAAAAGAUAAUAAUAAUAUCAAAUGCAGGUUUCUUGCUUUGACGAUGUCCUUCCUCCGCAAAAUCUCUCGCGGAUGGGCGACGGAAGGGAAACCCAUUUCCACGGUAGAAAUCGAGUUUGACUUGGAAAUCCUCUGGGAAGAGAAGUCUCUCGGUUUCGUUUCCUUACGAAUGUAUCGACUUGAUGUGCCCUUUGAAAAUACGUCAAUCCGCAUAUCCAAAGAUAUGUAUGUCUCCCGUAUCUUUUCGGUUUUCCUUAAGCCGAGUAGUCACGUGCCACUGUACGAGGUUUGAGAAGUUCAAAAGACGCACGCAACGUUUGUCACUGAAAAGAAAAGACAUAGAUAUUACUUUCAAAUUAUAUCGUACAAAAUGAGAACUCAUAUAACGACACUCUUUGAAAGCCUGCCAAAGCUAUUAUGAGAAAUAAUUUGCAUAGAUAUACGAUUGAAGCAAUCUUUCUUCAUGAUAUAUUACAAUGAAGAGGAAAUAGCGAAGCGGAUACCUUCCAUAGAAAAAAAAGAAAAUCUAUGUGUGAGUAUAUGCGAAGAGAAAGGAGAGUAUGUAUGUACAUACGUUACGCUUGCAUUCUUCAAUAACAUCUUUUUUCUCAUAUCAAUCAUCUCAAAGAGAGACAUGAUCAACAUGUUGACUGCUUAACGAGUUUUAUACAUCACAUUAAAAUUUAUGUUUGAAUCAAAUAAAAUACAUCGUAAUAUGUAAAAAAUAUAUAUGAUCAAAAAUACAAAUCGUGAUUCUUCAGUUCAGUAACGAAUGUACUGCUUAAUUUACAUGCAUCACCCUUAUUAUCCUUAUGUUAUUUACGGUUUUAUAAGAAAUAGAGUUUAUUUGUCGAAAAAUAAAUCGAAACAGUUUUAAACAAUUCCGAGUGCCAGUUACAGGUAGCAUAACAAUCAAUAAUUAUAUAGACGUUAUUGAAAAGUGAGUGCCGGUCCCCGGUGAUCUCUUUAACGUGUUAAAGAAACUAUUGUAUAGAAUGAAUAACGGAUUGUAAAAAUGACUGACAUUGUGACGUUUCUAAAAAUAAAUAGACGCCACUGUUCUCGGUCCAUUCGAAAGGAAGGACCUAAAAGAUGGCAAAGAUGGCUGAUAAAUAGAAAACGAGAGAGAGAAAGAGAGGAGAGGAAGGAGGAAGGGGAGAGAAAGAGGGAGAGACAAAUACGAUGUGCGAUAGAGCGAGCUCAUUGUCGAUCGAUCACGCGCCAAGUUAUUCCGCCGCACGCCAUUAAAUUCCGCUUCCCGUCUCGUCGACAAGGAGAAAGGAUAAUGACAUCAGUGUACUCUGUCUCCUGCUCCAGACUAUAAGCCAUGUUUACCUGACAAAUCCUAUUUUUGACUCGUACGUGAAAACCAUUUUCUCGGGCGAAAUUCAAUUUUGAUGCAACACAUAGUCGUCGAUCUUCCAUCUUAUUCAUUAUUCAUCUUCGAUAUUGACAUCUACGAUUUCUGUGCAGUUUUUAAUAAAAACUUAAUACGUGGAAAGAGAAAGGAAAUUUUUAGUAGAAGAUAUCGUGCA